UACGGGGGGGGCAAGCGUUGUUCGGAAUUACUGGGCGUAAAGGGCUCGUAGGCGGCCAACUAAGUCAGACGUGAAAUCCCUCGGCUUAACCGGGGAACUGCGUCUGAUACUGGAUGGCUUGAAUCCGGGAGAGGGAUGCGGAAUUCCAGGUGUAGCGGUGAAAUGCGUAGAUAUCUGGAGGAACACCAACGGCGAAGGCAGCUCGCUGGGACGGUACUGACGCUGAGACGCGAAAGCGUGGGGAGCAAACAGG
This 253-nucleotide ribosomal RNA is filed under the name uncultured bacterium. RNAcentral's name for it is "partial 16S ribosomal RNA". It matches the Rfam family "Bacterial small subunit ribosomal RNA", at positions 524 to 776 of the family's 1533-position model. The record is from RNAcentral.